CUCAAUAAUUGUGUGUGGGUGCAUGUGUGCACGUGUACGUGUGAGUGCCUGUGUGUGUGCAUUGUGUGUAGGGGCUGGGGCUGGGGUCGACAACAGAUCAGAGCACAGGAGUAGAGCGCUUCUGGGAGGGUGGGGUCACCCGUGAGUCACGUCCUGCACCCUGGAGCCCAGAGGACCCUUCGCUCAAACCCACCACCAGCUGGCAACACCGGACCAGCCAGAGCCGCUUUCUUCGCUGCGCAGAGGAGCCUGGGAGAAGCCAGAGGUGCUUGAGGAUGGAUUCUUGGCUCCUGGUGCAUUGCCACUCCCUGCCACCCUCCUCCUUGUCUUCUGUCUUCUCCUGGUGGCUUCAGGCCUUGCUUCAUGUCCCAAAAGGAGCCUCUGGGGCUGGCACAGCCCUCACUGCCUACAACCUGGGCCUGGUGGUUCUCCUAGGGUGCCUCUGGGAGGUCAUGGCCACCCCGCUGCUGGCUAACUGCAGCUACUUCUGCCAGCCAGUGGACUACAGAUGGAGCAAGCAUGGAAUGAGGGUAUGGCAGGGAGCAGGAAGCAAGCCUAGAGAGGGUUAGGAGGAACAACUUCAUAACAAUCGGAGGUCAAGGAGGCAUCUUCCUGGAGACAGGAAGGUAGGCAUUGUGGAAUCAGCGGUGCGUAGAACAGUGAGGAUUUGGGGCUGAACCCAGCCCAGGUGGGACAAGCCGUGGCACCAGCCGGACUGCAGUCUGAUGGAACUUCCCCUUCCUGCCCAGCAGAUGGCGAGCGUGUGCUGCUGGUGCCUCUUUCCAAAGGACGUUGAAUUGCUUGACAGGUGUUCCAGGUGUUCUUUACUUUAUGAAUGAAGCCGGAGCAGCCCACCUUCCUGCAUCUCUACCACCAUGGCACCAUGCCCUGUGAUGGGUGGGCUGGAGUCAAAUACGUAGCAGGCAACCAGGGUCAGUUUGUGGCCACUGCUGCCCCCUCUUCCUACAGUCUCCUCACUGAGUGCCCCUUCCCUGUUGGGUUCAACACAUCUGUGCUCCUGUAAGCCCUCAGCCUCCUGGUUCUCUUCCUCAACUUCUACCACCAGACACAUCUGAGAAGCAAGCAAGAGAGGCUGAACUAGGAGCAGGACCCAGGGACUGAAACCAUCACAGCAUCCCCACAGAGAAUUGGGUGGAAGGCAGCGUGGCUUCCAGCUUACUGGUGCUGAGCAGAUUUCUCUGGGUCUCCAUUGUAUCCUCUGAAGGAAGGAGGAGGAUUGCCUUCUGUCCAGAUCUCAGGAUCAAACAAAUAGGUCCAACUUCCUGUGCUCACUUCAGUUAGAGCACUUCUCAUGUGACUUUGUAGCUUUGUGUGCAUCUCCUUCCUCUACUAGACCUAAGCCCCUCACGGGAGGGACUCUCUUAUUCUUGA
Molecule: small RNA, 1392 nt
Filed under: Pan troglodytes (chimpanzee)
Lineage: Eukaryota; Metazoa; Chordata; Mammalia; Primates; Hominidae
Description: retained intron
Source: RNAcentral